This 423-nucleotide ribosomal RNA is filed under the name Triticum aestivum (bread wheat). RNAcentral describes it as "partial small subunit ribosomal RNA". The record is from RNAcentral. Lineage: Eukaryota; Viridiplantae; Streptophyta; Magnoliopsida; Poales; Poaceae.
AUGGGACCUUGGGGUGGGGAUGGUGGGACAUCCUUUGACAUCACGGAGCUGCCUCGUUCUCUUCAAACUGUGACAAUUAGAUGUGGGGACGUGAUUAACUCGGUUAUGUUUUCCUACACUGACCAAACUGGCCAGAAGAAAACUGCUGGACCAUGGGGUGGUGAUGGUGCACUUACUGCAACGAUCACACUUGCUCCUUCCGAGUUUAUAAAGCAAGUUCUUGGAACUACCGGUGCAGUUGGAGGAGAGACAAUUGUUACAUCACUUACCUUGGUCAGUAGUGUUACAACAUAUGGGCCUUUUGGAAAAGCAAACGGUACCCCUUUUAGCAGCGAGGUUCCAGAUGGUAACAACAUUGGGGGAUUCUUUCCACGUGCUGGGGGGUCUGUCAAUGCACUUGGCAUUUACGCGUGCCCAAUUUAG